UAUGAUGUUAAUGACCAUCCACCAAUAUUUUUACAUGGUGUUUAUAACCCUCCAACUAUUUUUACACCAUGUGGUGGUAUCCAUCCCAUUGACAUAGACGGAAGAGAUAGCGGUCGUCUAACUGGAUAUUGUAAAACUGCUUUGAAAGCAUUCAACAAACACAAUCAUCAGGAUCCAAAAUUUGAUUUUGAUAGCCUCGUCAAGGCAAACCGUUUGCUUCCUGGAUAUUUUUAUAUUACCUUUAAGGCAAAAAAACAAGAUGAUGCUUCCCCAACAAUUUUCCAGGCCAGUGUUAAGAAGAAGUUUGAUCGUUCCAUUGAGGUCAUCUCUUGUGCCAUCAAAAAAGACUAACCAGGUCUUCUGAAGCUCAGAAUGGUGGACAGUCGAAAAGAAUGUUAUCGGUCAAAUUCCUCCAUUUAUUUUCAACCAAAACUAUUGAUAUGUGCUCGUCAAACCAAAGCUAUUGAUAUGCGUUUUAUUGUCUUUUGUUCUUUUGGGCUUAGGUGGCCACAUUCUG
Vicia villosa (hairy vetch) is the source of this 517-nucleotide long non-coding RNA. RefSeq lists it as uncharacterized. The transcript is spliced from 3 exons. The record is from RefSeq and is a predicted model, not a curated record. Lineage: Eukaryota; Viridiplantae; Streptophyta; Magnoliopsida; Fabales; Fabaceae.